RNAcentral lists this non-coding RNA (947 nucleotides) under Falco columbarius insignis. RNAcentral describes it as "partial 12S ribosomal RNA". It matches the Rfam family "Bacterial small subunit ribosomal RNA". Lineage: Eukaryota; Metazoa; Chordata; Aves; Falconiformes; Falconidae. The record is from RNAcentral.
AAAGACUUAGUCCUAACCUUACAGUUGGCUUCUGCUAGAUAUAUACAUGCAAGUAUCCGCGGCCCAGUGUAAAUGCCCCAGACCUCUUAUUAAGACCAAAGGAGCAGGCAUCAGGCACACACCACCAACUGUAGCCCAAGACGCCUUGCUCAGCCACACCCCCACGGGCACUCAGCAGUAAUUAACAUUAAGCAAUAAGCGCAAGCUUGACUUAGUCACAGCAACCUUAGGGUUGGUAAAUCUUGUGCCAGCCACCGCGGUCACACAAGAAACCCGAGCCAACAGUCACACGGCGUAAAGAGUGGACUAGAACCUGUCAUAACAACUAGGAAACCAAAACACACCUGAGCUGUCAUAAGCCCAAGAUACCCAUAAGAUCAACCUAAAAAUGGUCCUAGUAUGCCUGACGAACCAAGCCCCACGAAAGCUAGGACCCAAACUGGGAUUAGAUACCCCACUAUGCCUAGCCCUAAAUCCUGAUGUACACCAUACCAGAGCACAUCCGCCCGAGAAUUACGAGCACAAACGCUUGAAACUCUAAGGACUUGGCGGUGCCCCAAAACCACCUAGAGGAGCCUGUUCUAUAAACGACACCCCACGCUACACCCUACCACUUCUCGCUAGAAACAGCCUACAUACCGCCGUCGCCAGCUCACCCUGAUUGAAGGACACACAGUGAGCACAAUAACCACUCCGUUAACACGACAGGUCAAGGUAUAGCCUACGAAGUGGAAGUAAUGGGCUACAUUUUCUAAUAUAGAAUAACCCAACGGAAGGGAACCUGAAAUUGUUCCCGGAAGGCGGAUUUAGCAGUAAAGCAGGAUAACAUAAGCCUACUUUAAGCCGGCCCUGGGGCACGUACAUACCGCCCGUCACCCUCCUCACAAGCUACCAACCCAUAAUAACUAAUCCACCACUAUAGCCAAAGAUGAGGUAAGUCGUAACAA